CCUACGGGUGGCAGCAGUGAGGAAUAUUGGUCAAUGGACGAGAGUCUGAACCAGCCAAGUAGCGUGAAGGAUGACGGCACUAUGGGUUGUAAACUUCUUUUAUAAAGGAAUAAAACGAGGCACGUGUGCCUUUUUGCAUGUACUUUAUGAAUAAGCAUCGGCUAACUCCGUGCCAGCAGCCGCGGUAAUACGGAGGAUCCGAGCGUUAUCCGGAUUUCUUGGGUUUAAAGGGCGCGUCGAUGGGUUGUUAAGUCAGUUGGGAAAGUUCGCGGCUCAACCGUAAAAUUGCCAUUGAUACUGGCAGUCUUGAGUUCAGUUGAGGUAAGCGGAAUUCGUGGUGUAGCGGUGAAAUGCUUAGAUAUCACGAAGAACCCCGAUUGCGAAGGCAGCUUACUAAACUGUGACUGACAUUGAUGCUCGAAAGUGUGGGUAUCAAACAGGAUUAGAUACCCCGGUAGUC
This 460-nucleotide ribosomal RNA is filed under the name uncultured bacterium. Its description in RNAcentral is "partial 16S ribosomal RNA". It matches the Rfam family "Bacterial small subunit ribosomal RNA", at positions 338 to 795 of the family's 1533-position model. The record is from RNAcentral.